Molecule: ribosomal RNA, 484 nt
Filed under: uncultured bacterium
Lineage: Bacteria
Description: partial 16S ribosomal RNA
Rfam family: Bacterial small subunit ribosomal RNA
Source: RNAcentral
AUUGAACGCUGGCGGCAGGCCUAACACAUGCAAGUCGAGCGGCUGAAGGGAGCUUGCUCCUGGAUUCAGCGGCGGACGGGUGAGUAAUGCCUAGGAAUCUGCCUGGUAGUGGGGGAUAACGUCCGGAAACGGGCGCUAAUACCGCAUACGUCCUGAGGGAGAAAGUGGGGGAUCUUCGGACCUUACGCUAUCAGAUGAGCCUAGGUCGGAUUAGCUAGUUGGUGGGGUAAAGGCCUACCAAGGCGACGAUCCGUAACUGGUCUGAGAGGAUGAUCAGUCACACUGGAACUGAGACACGGUCCAGACUCCUACGGGAGGCAGCAGUGGGGAAUAUUGGACAAUGGGCGAAAGCCUGAUCCAGCCAUGCCGCGUGUGUGAAGAAGGUCUUCGGAUUGUAAAGCACUUUAAGUUGGGAGGAAGGGCAGUAAGUUAAUACCUUGCUGUUUUGACGUUACCAACAGAAUAAGCACCGGCUAACUUCGUG